GUGGGGGGGUCCACCUCCCACCCGUGUUUAUCGUACCUUGUUGCUUCGGCGGGCCCGCCUCACGGCCGCCGGGGGGCAUCCGCCCCCGGGCCCGCGCCCGCCGAAGACACACAAACGAACUCUUGUCUGAAGAUUGCAGUCUGAGUACUUGACUAAAUCAGUUAAAACUUUCAACAACGGAUCUCUUGGUUCCGGCAUCGAUGAAGAACGCAGCGAAAUGCGAUAAGUAAUGUGAAUUGCAGAAUUCAGUGAAUCAUCGAGUCUUUGAACGCACAUUGCGCCCCCUGGUAUUCCGGGGGGCAUGCCUGUCCGAGCGUCAUUGCUGCCCUCAAGCACGGCUUGUGUGUUGGGCUCUCGCCCCCCGCUUCCGGGGGGCGGGCCCGAAAGGCAGCGGCGGCACCGCGUCCGGUCCUCGAGCGUAUGGGGCUUCGUCACCCGCUCUGUAGGCCCGGCCGGCGCCCGCCGGCGAACACCAUCAAUCUUAACCAGGUUGACCUCGGAUCAGGUAGGGAUACCCGCUGAACUUAAGCAUAUCAAUAAGCGGACAU
This 548-nucleotide ribosomal RNA is filed under the name Penicillium oxalicum. Its description in RNAcentral is "eukaryotic LSU rRNA". The stretch from base 166 to 319 matches the Rfam family "5.8S ribosomal RNA". Lineage: Eukaryota; Fungi; Ascomycota; Eurotiomycetes; Eurotiales; Aspergillaceae. The record is from RNAcentral.